This is a non-coding RNA of Leptonychotes weddellii (Weddell seal), 620 nucleotides long. Lineage: Eukaryota; Metazoa; Chordata; Mammalia; Carnivora; Phocidae. The record is from RefSeq and is a predicted model, not a curated record.
UUUUGCGACACCGGCGGCGCUGGACUUCCCAGCGCCCCCGGCGGUAGCAGGAGGAGCGUGCGGUUAGGCGCGUUGGGCUUUCGGGGAGCCGCAGGCUGUGGUUGGCGGCUCUUCUGCGCCCACGGUCGGGAGCUGAGGUCCGCGGGGAGGGGAGGACAGGAACUAGCAUGGCUGGGUGAUGGCGCGACCGAUGUGACCGGAGAGCGCAGGAGCCGUCUCGGGCCUCGGCUUGAAACCCUCCGAGGCCCGUGGCCUGCAGAAGGGCCCCCUCCGAGGCCCGUGUAUUCUGGCUGUGGGAGAAACAGAACCAAGAAGUGGUCACUAGCUUGGAGAAGUUCACGUAGAACGGCACCCCAGACUUGCAAGGUGGCUUAUCUGUGUGACUUCUCAUUCAGCCUCUCUUCAUCUGAUUCCUGUACUCCAGCAAGAUCCUGAGAAGCUGCUGCUGCCAACCUGUAUGCCACAGCCACACUAUUGCAAACGGGGUUUUACUUUUUGCCCCAAAAGAUGUGUAAGGUAUAUUUUAAUUAAGAAAUAUGUUUGUUGGUUUCUUCUACAAUAUUCACCACCAGGCAUCAUCUCAGCCUCUUCCCUCUUGUAAGGCUGCCUGAGUCAUCCUG